This 253-nucleotide ribosomal RNA is filed under the name uncultured bacterium. RNAcentral describes it as "partial 16S ribosomal RNA". It matches the Rfam family "Bacterial small subunit ribosomal RNA", at positions 524 to 776 of the family's 1533-position model. The record is from RNAcentral.
GACGAAGGAUGCAAGCGUUAUCCGGAUUCAUUGGGUUUAAAGGGAGCGUAGGUGGCCUUAUAAGUCAGUGGUGAAAUCUCUGGGCUUAACCCAGAAAUUGCCAUUGAUACUGUAGGGCUUGAGUAUAGAUGCCGUUGGCGGAAUAUGACAUGUAGUGGUGAAAUACAUAGAGAUGUCAUAGAACACCGAUUGCGAAGGCAGCUAACUACACGAUCAUUGACACUGAGGCACGAAAGCGUGGGGAGCAAACAGG